AACGUAGGAGGCAAGCGUUAUCCGGAUUUAUUGGGCGUAAAGAGCGUGUAGGCGGCCAGGUAGGUCUGCUGUGAAAACUCGAGGCUUAACCUCGAGCUGUCGGCGGAAACCAUCUGGCUAGAGUCCGGAAGAGGAGAAUGGAAUUCCCGGUGUAGCGGUGAAAUGCGCAGAUAUCGGGAAGAACACCCGUGGCGAAGGCGGUUCUCUGGGACGGUACUGACGCUGAGACGCGAAAGCGUGGGGAGCGAACAGG
This 253-nucleotide ribosomal RNA is filed under the name uncultured bacterium. RNAcentral's name for it is "partial 16S ribosomal RNA". It matches the Rfam family "Bacterial small subunit ribosomal RNA", at positions 524 to 776 of the family's 1533-position model. The record is from RNAcentral.